UACGAAGGGUGCAAGCGUUAAUCGGAAUUACUGGGCGUAAAGCGUGCGUAGACGGUUAUGUAAGUCAGAUGUGAAAGCCCCGGGCUCAACCUGGGAAUUGCAUUUGAGACUGCAUAGCUAGGGUGCGGAAGAGGGAAGCGGAAUUUCCGGUGUAGCGGUGAAAUGCGUAGAUAUCGGAAGGAACACCAGUGGCGAAGGCGGCUUCUGGACGGUUACUGACGCUGAGACGCGAAAGCGUGGGGAGCAAACAGGGAUUAGAAACCCUAGUAGUACCAGCAAGCCAACGAUGUACUUCGCGUCACCGUA
This 306-nucleotide ribosomal RNA is filed under the name uncultured bacterium. RNAcentral's name for it is "partial 16S ribosomal RNA". It matches the Rfam family "Bacterial small subunit ribosomal RNA", at positions 524 to 828 of the family's 1533-position model. The record is from RNAcentral.